This is a ribosomal RNA of Pteropus vampyrus (large flying fox), 120 nucleotides long. The record is from Ensembl. Lineage: Eukaryota; Metazoa; Chordata; Mammalia; Chiroptera; Pteropodidae.
GACUACAGCCAUGCCACUCUGAACAUGCCCAAUCCUGUCUGAUCUUGGAAGCUAAGAAGGAUCGGGCCUGGUUAGUACUUGGAUGGGAGACCACCAAAGAAGACUGGGUGGGUGUUGUAG